Molecule: ribosomal RNA, 206 nt
Filed under: uncultured bacterium
Lineage: Bacteria
Description: partial 16S ribosomal RNA
Rfam family: Bacterial small subunit ribosomal RNA
Source: RNAcentral
CGCGUAGGCGGAUUGGUAAGUUUGAUGUGAAAUACCUGGGCUCAACCUGGGAACUGCAUUGGAUACUGCUGAUCUAGAGAGUUGAAAGGGAUGAUGGAAUUAUGCAUGGAGAGGUGGAAUUCAUAGAUAUGCAUAGGAACACCGGAGGCGAAGGCGAUCAUCUGGGCAACGACUGACGCUGAGGCGCGAAAGCGUGGGAGCAAACA